AAUGGGCAGGGCAGUUUCACCCUGCUUCUUUACAGCAGCUUCCUUUAAUGAGUCUCAUCCACUGUGUCCUUGGGCAACAUUCUUAUAAAGUCUGACCUGGGAUCAACUGUAUUCAAAACUGCAUGUAUACCAGACUUGCUUUCAAGUAACAGUACUCUGCUCCAGUGACCACAAGGAAGACGGGAUGGUUCAGGCUCCAGAUGAAGUGUAGCAUUUUCUGAGAGGAAGCUCUUCAUUCAAGGGCUUUGAGGGGAGGCCUAGAGGUGUUCAAGAACUAUGUGCUGGCUCAGCAAAGGAAUCAUGCUUGUUUCUCCCUGAGGAGCUUGGGCAGAGAGAGGAUCAGUUACUUAACUACUGAGAACCCUCCAGAGUGGGACCUAUAAGGAACAGAUGCAUUAGAAGAAACUACUGGUGUUCAGAUUGAAAGUGGUAAAGGAUGGUCAACCUCAUGAG
Molecule: long non-coding RNA, 453 nt
Filed under: Cricetulus griseus (Chinese hamster)
Lineage: Eukaryota; Metazoa; Chordata; Mammalia; Rodentia; Cricetidae
Description: lncRNA (ENSCGRG00015034344.1)
Source: RNAcentral